UACGAAGGGUGCAAACGUUGCUCGGAAUUAUUGGGCGUAAAGCGCACGUAGGCGGUCUACUAAGUCGGAUGUGAAAUCCCUCGGCUCAACCGAGGACGUGCAUCCGAAACUGGAAGACUUGAGUACCAAAGAGGAUCGCGGAAUUCCCGGUGUAGAGGUGAAAUUCGUAGAUAUCGGGAGGAACAUCAGUAGCGAAGGCGGCGAUCUGGGUGGAUACUGACGCUGAGGUGCGAAAGCGUGGGGAGCAAACAGG
Molecule: ribosomal RNA, 253 nt
Filed under: uncultured bacterium
Lineage: Bacteria
Description: partial 16S ribosomal RNA
Rfam family: Bacterial small subunit ribosomal RNA
Source: RNAcentral